CUGCAUCCACAUUCAGGGAUGCAGUAGCAUGCAGUGCAACCAGUGACGGAUCACUGCAUCCACCUUCAUGGGCCCGGUAUUCUCUAUCACAACAUACUGCAUCCACAUUCUCGGACAAUGCAGGGGUCACUGCAUCCACUGCAGCAACACUGCACCCAGCUGAAGUGUGACUGCAGGAGCACUGCAAUCACUGCAGGAUCACUGCAUUCACCUUCAUGGGCACUACAUACUACAACACACCACAAUGCCUCCACAUUGUGGGACACUGCAUCCACUGCAUGAGCACUGCAUCCACAUUUCAGGACAAUGCAGGGGGCAUUGCAACCACUGCAGGACACUAUAUACAGCUGAAGUGGCACUGAAGGCAUACUGAUAUAACUGUCGACUCACUGAAUCCAACUCUUGGGUGCUGCAUCCACAGACAGGAACACAGAACGAGGCACUGCAACCACUGCAGGGACACAACAGCCAGCUGAAGUUGCACUGCAGGUGCACUGCAAUGACUGCAGUAUCACUGAAUCCUCCUUCAUGAUCACUGAAUCCUCCAUCACAACAUAAGGCAUCCACCUUGAGGGACACUGCAUCCACUGCAUGAGCACUGCAUCCACAUUCAGGUAAACUGCAGGGGGCACUGCAACCACUGCAGGAUCACUGCAUCCACCUUCAUGGGCACUGCAUCCUCCGUAACAACAUACUGCAUGCACAUUGUGGGACACUGCAUCCACUGCAUGGGGUCUGCAUCCACAUUCAGGGACACUGCAGUUGGCUCUGCAACCACUGCAGCAACACUGCAUCCAGCUGAAGUUGCACAACAAGAGCACUACAAUCACUUCAGGCUCACUACAUCCACCUUCGUGGGCACUGCAUCCUCCAUCACAGCAUACGGCAUCCACCUUGUGGGAUACUGCAUGGGCACUGCAUCCACAUUCAGGAAAACUGUAGGGGUCACUGCAACCACUGCAGCAACACUGCAUCCAGCUGAACUGGCACUGCAGAUGCACUGCCAUCACUUCAGGAUCACUGCAUUCACCAUCAUCAGCACUGCAUCCUACAGCAAACGCCAAUGCCUCCACAUUGUGGGACACUGCAUCCACGGCAAGAGAACUGCAUCCACAUUCAAGGAAAAUGCAGGGGGCAUUGCAACCACUGCAGGUACACUGCAUCCACCUGAAGUGGCACUGAAGGCGUACAGCAAUCACUGCCGGCUCAAUGUGUACAAAUCCAGGGCUCUUCAUCCUCUGUCACAACAUACGGCAAUCAACAUUUGGUGCGCUGCAUCCACUGUAAGGGCACUGCAUCCACAUUCAGGGACACAGGACGGGGCACUGCAGGGACACUGCAACACACGGAAGUGGCACUGUGAGUUCACUGCAAUGACUGCAGGAUCACUGCAUCCUCCUUCAUGAUCACUGAAUCUUCCAACACAUCAUAAGGCAUCCACCUUUAGGGACAAAGCAUCCACUGCAUGAGCACUGCAUCCACAUUCAGUUAAACUGCAGGGGCACUGCAACCACAUCAGGAUCACUGCGUCCACCUUCACGGGCACUGCAUCCACCCUAACAACAUACUGCAUGCACAUUGUGGGACACUGCAUCUACUGCAUAGGGACAGCAUCCAUGUUCAGUGUCACUGCACUUGGCUCUGCAACCACUGCAGCAACACUCCAUCCAGCUGAAGUGGCACUGCAAGUGCACUGCAAUCACUUCAGGCUCACUGCAUCCACCUUCGUGGGCACUGCAUCCUGCGUCACAGCAUACCGCAUCCACCUUUUGUGACGCAUGCACUGCAUCAGCACUGAAUACACAUUGAGGGAAACUGGAGGGGGCACUGCAAACACUGCAGGUUCACCGCACCCACCUUCAUUUGCAAUGCAUCCUGCGACAAAACAUACUGCAUCUGCCUUGUGAGACACUGCAUCCACUGCAUGACCCCGGCAUCAAAAUUCCAGCACAAUGCCAGGGUGCCUGCAACAACUGAAGUGACACUGUAUGUGCCUUAAUGCGCACUGCAUCCUCGGUCAAAACAUACUGCAUAAACCUUUAGGUACACUGCCUCAUCUUCAAGGGUACUGCAUUCACCUUCAGGGACACAGAAGGUGGCACUGAAACCACUGCAGGGACACUGCAUCCAGAUGAAGUGGCACUGCACGUGCAAUGCAAUGACUACAGGAUCACUGCAUCAUCCUUCAUGGGCAGUGAAUCCUGCUUGACAACAUACUGCAUC
Equus caballus (horse) is the source of this 2223-nucleotide long non-coding RNA. NCBI's taxonomy places the organism in Eukaryota, Metazoa, Chordata, Mammalia, Perissodactyla, Equidae. The record is from Ensembl.